RNAcentral lists this ribosomal RNA (1011 nucleotides) under Salmonella enterica subsp. enterica serovar Typhimurium. Its description in RNAcentral is "partial 23S ribosomal RNA". It matches the Rfam family "Bacterial large subunit ribosomal RNA", at positions 1918 to 2925 of the family's 2925-position model. The record is from RNAcentral. Lineage: Bacteria; Pseudomonadati; Pseudomonadota; Gammaproteobacteria; Enterobacterales; Enterobacteriaceae. RNAcentral also lists the same sequence under 1 other name.
CCCCGGUAAACGGCGGCCGUAACUAUAACGGUCCUAAGGUAGCGAAAUUCCUUGUCGGGUAAGUUCCGACCUGCACGAAUGGCGUAAUGAUGGCCAGGCUGUCUCCACCCGAGACUCAGUGAAAUUGAACUCGCUGUGAAGAUGCAGUGUACCCGCGGCAAGACGGAAAGACCCCGUGAACCUUUACUAUAGCUUGACACUGAACAUUGAGCCUUGAUGUGUAGGAUAGGUGGGAGGCUUUGAAGUGUGGACGCCAGUCUGCAUGGAGCCGACCUUGAAAUACCACCCUUUAAUGUUUGAUGUUCUAACGUGGACCCGUAAUCCGGGUUGCGGACAGUGUCUGGUGGGUAGUUUGACUGGGGCGGUCUCCUCCUAAAGAGUAACGGAGGAGCACGAAGGUUGGCUAAUCCUGGUCGGACAUCAGGAGGUUAGUGCAAUGGCAUAAGCCAGCUUGACUGCGAGCGUGACGGCGCGAGCAGGUGCGAAAGCAGGUCAUAGUGAUCCGGUGGUUCUGAAUGGAAGGGCCAUCGCUCAACGGAUAAAAGGUACUCCGGGGAUAACAGGCUGAUACCGCCCAAGAGUUCAUAUCGACGGCGGUGUUUGGCACCUCGAUGUCGGCUCAUCACAUCCUGGGGCUGAAGUAGGUCCCAAGGGUAUGGCUGUUCGCCAUUUAAAGUGGUACGCGAGCUGGGUUUAGAACGUCGUGAGACAGUUCGGUCCCUAUCUGCCGUGGGCGCUGGAGAACUGAGGGGGGCUGCUCCUAGUACGAGAGGACCGGAGUGGACGCAUCACUGGUGUUCGGGUUGUCAUGCCAAUGGCACUGCCCGGUAGCUAAAUGCGGAAGAGAUAAGUGCUGAAAGCAUCUAAGCACGAAACUUGCCCCGAGAUGAGUUCUCCCUGAGACUUAGAGUCUCCUGAAGGAACGUUGAAGACGACGACGUUGAUAGGCCGGGUGUGUAAGCGCAGCGAUGCGUUGAGCUAACCGGUACUAAUGAACCGUGAGGCUUAACC